Molecule: non-coding RNA, 21 nt
Organism: Caenorhabditis elegans
Lineage: Eukaryota; Metazoa; Nematoda; Chromadorea; Rhabditida; Rhabditidae
Source: Ensembl
UAGACGAUUGGUUCAAUUUGC